This 938-nucleotide ribosomal RNA is filed under the name Schistosoma nasalae. RNAcentral's name for it is "partial 16S ribosomal RNA". The stretch from base 493 to 656 matches the Rfam family "Bacterial large subunit ribosomal RNA", at positions 1789 to 2014 of the family's 2925-position model. Lineage: Eukaryota; Metazoa; Platyhelminthes; Trematoda; Strigeidida; Schistosomatidae. The record is from RNAcentral.
UUAACGAGUGUUAGUAGAGGGUAGUAAUUAUGGUUUUUAUGGUUUAGUGUACCUUUUGUAUCAUGAUCUUUUGAGAGAAAAAUUAUUGUAUUGGUAUGUCCCGAAAAGUUUACGAUUUUGUUUAAUAUGGUUAUUAGCUAAUUUAUUAGCUAAUGAAUAUAUGGGUUGUUAAGAAAAUAUCCGGAGAUAUUAAAUAGGUUAGUGAUAAGUAAUUCGUGUAACUUUAUAGCUGGUUUAGUGACUUGUAUUUCUAAUUAUGAGGAAGAUUGAUUGUGUUGAUUUUCUUAAACAGAGAUGUGAUUAGAGCAUUUGAUUUUAUAGGCUGAGAUUAAAAUUGUCUUUGGUUAAUUAAGUUAUUUACAUAGCUUAAGUUAAAAAGGUUUUUGGAUAUCUUGUUUUUGAGUGGUCACUGUUUGUUUAAUUGGUUGUUUAAUGAUGAAGGAAUAAGUAGGUUACGGUUGGUUAAAUAUAUUAAUUGUUUUUUUUCUCGGUGUUGCUUUCAACUGUUUACUAAAAACAUUUCUAUUUGUUGAGUAAUAAAUAGUUAGACCUGCCCAAUGAGUAUUAGAUGAAUGGCCGCGACUUUUAGUCGUGCUAAGGUAGCAUAAUAUAUAGUUUCUUAAUUGGAGACUUGUGAAUGGUUUAAUGAAAGGUAACUAAAAUGAUAGUUUAAUCUGAAAUUAGUGCGGUGGUUAAGAAUCCAUUGUUUAGUUAUGGGACGGAAAGACCCCAAGAGCUUUACUUUGUUAGUUUUAUUUGGGGUAAAUGUAAAUAAUUCAUAUUUAUUUUUAGAUCCUGCAGGAUAAAGGAUUAAGUUACCUUGGGGAUAACUGAGUAAAGAACGGUGAGAGUUCAUAUUAAUCUGUUUGUAACUCCUCGAUGUUGGCUUGAAGUUCCUAUUCGGUGUAGAGGCUGAGGAUUUAGGAGGUCUGUCGACU